GGACUUGAGAGGCAGUAUUAAUCACAUGAGGCUCUGCUGGAAUCCAAGGUGAUUAUUUGUAUAGCAGAGGAGCUCAAGAUUUGCUGACUGUGAAAAGAAGACUAUUUUAAGACAUGGCAAGUCCUGAAAACCAGAGAAACAAUGAGCUAACAUUUAUUCUAAAGGUGAACAUUAAAUUCAGAUCAAGCUAUUGCUUCUCUUCAAUUUGCAUGAUCACUUUGGAGAGCACUCUUGGAGAUCAUAAAAGGUUCUGGACACAAUGCCACCAUCUGCCCUGGACUGUAGCAUGGUAGAUGAGAGAGAGAGGAAAGUGGACGGAUGACACUGUUAAUAGAUGAUGCUUUAGUUAAAAUAAACUUGAGAGAAAGAAC
Heterocephalus glaber (naked mole-rat) is the source of this 371-nucleotide long non-coding RNA. NCBI's taxonomy places the organism in Eukaryota, Metazoa, Chordata, Mammalia, Rodentia, Bathyergidae. The record is from Ensembl.